UCUCGUCACUACACAACACUAACGAGAGAUUGAGAAUGCGCGAGAAGAUUCAACGAGGAUCGAAAUGGAAAGAGAGUUCUUCGGUAGAUGAAGUGAUGACUGACGGCAGCGAGGUCCUCGAGCAAACUGUGGUUGGGACACCUGGUCCCGCUUCCUUUAUUCGGUUUGGGCCCCAAGGAGUGGGGAGAGCGGGCGUAUUCUUAUUUAACAGCGAGUAGCAACGAUGACGAUAAUCAGGAAAGGAUGACGACGGUGACAUUGAAGCUGCUAAACCAACGAUUCAACGAUGGGACCUGAGGAUGCCAUAACGAUCAUUCACACCCGGCAACAGCCCCUGGUUCUUCCGUCCAGGUCCAUCGAGGUAUGGUCCAGGUUGUUGUUCCGUCUAGGUAGGCAGUGACAGGCGGUUGGCGACCAAUCAGAAAGAUGUAGCCUGAAAGAUGUAGCACCAAAACCUGGGGGAGAGAUACCACUAUUCGGCAUCAAAUGAUUAAAAUUAACGUUUACGGUUAUAUACACGCGUCCCGAUUAUAGUAGUAGUGUGCAUGUGAUUUACGACGAUGUGACAGACAAUUUAAGAGAAUUCCUUGUCGUACUCUAUAUUUUGAAUUCUGAAAUCCUGGUCUGUGUACUGCACCAAUGAGAAUUUACCACGUGUUUCUUAGCGAAUUACUGUGAUUCGUUGGCAGGCAAAGAAUGAUCAUUCAAAUUUUUCAGAAAACGAAAACUUUGAAAUCCUACCAACAGUCGUGUCUGCGAAAUGAUACACAAAAAUUUCCGACAAAGUUAUAGAUUGUCUGUAAUAUGAGGCUUAAAUACUCGAAUGAAUAAUCAGCGGUUUGUCAACUUUUUAUGAAUAUUACAUGCGUAUCAAGACAAUUUAACAAAUAUAUAAUUUUAUACGUGAUAAUACGAUCUAUUUUGAUCUUGCUUAUUAACGAUAGAAGCGAACAACACUAAAAAAGGUGAUAAGAUACCGCGUAUAUUAUGUCUAUCGAGUGUUUAUAAGCACUUGUUUUUUUUAAUUUCUACAAAUAUCAUCGGUCAUCUUAUAUUAUACUUGGCAUGUAUUUUCCGGUAAAUUACUUUCCGUCGGAUAACGCCAACCAAUUUCAUGUCCUAUAACGAAAAACGCCCUCUUUCUCUUCGUUAAUAUUUUAUAAAUAAUGCCUUGUAAUUCACAUGAUCAACGAUUACCUUGUCAUCUCGCUAAAGUGUUUAAUUCUGUUUACUCGAUAAUUUUACGCAUCGCAGCAUGUACACAUGGUCGUUUCGCCAUGUCGCGUUUUAUUGUGCACUUAUAAAUAUAUGUAAAUAGGAUAGUUAAAUUGCCGAAAACUGUGAAUAAGAACAGCCUUCUCAAAGUCAUUGUAAAUCAUUCAUAAAUAAUUAACAGAUUAUAAAAUAAUCGCAGAAUACAGUAAAGUGUAUAUCAAAA
Long non-coding RNA from Pogonomyrmex barbatus (red harvester ant), 1438 nucleotides. The record is from RefSeq and is a predicted model, not a curated record. NCBI's taxonomy places the organism in Eukaryota, Metazoa, Arthropoda, Insecta, Hymenoptera, Formicidae.